This 253-nucleotide long non-coding RNA is filed under the name Pan troglodytes (chimpanzee). RNAcentral describes it as "long non-coding RNA NONPTRT008389". Lineage: Eukaryota; Metazoa; Chordata; Mammalia; Primates; Hominidae. The record is from RNAcentral.
CCAGAUCCUGCCCCUGAGCUUUCAUGAGCUGUUGAACCAUCCGGAAUUCACAGGCCUGUCAUGAGAGACACGAUGAGAAGUCCUUAAAGGUAGAUCGCUGAUUCACAGGGGAGCAGGCGGAGGCAAGGGCGCUGCGCUACCACCCGGACAAGAACAAGGAGCCCGGCGCCGAGGAGAAGUUCAAGGAGAUCGCCGAGGCCUACGAUGUGCUCAGCGACCCGCGCAAGCGCGAGAUCUUCGACCGCUACCGGGA